GACGAACGCUGGCGGCGUGCCUAAUACAUGCAAGUUGAGCGCUGAAGGUUGGUACUUGUACCAACUGGAUGAGCAGCGAACGGGUGAGUAACGCGUGGGGAAUCUGCCUUUGAGCGGGGGACAACAUUUGGAAACGAAUGCUAAUACCGCAUAAAAACUUUAAACACAAGUUUUAAGUUUGAAAGAUGCAAUUGCACCACUCAAAGAUGAUCCCGCGUUGUAUUAGCUAGUUGGUGAGGUAAAGGCUCACCAAGGCGAUGAUACAUAGCCGACCUGAGAGGGUGAUCGGCCACAUUGGGACUGAGACACGGCCCAAACUCCUACGGGAGGCAGCAGUAGGGAAUCUUCGGCAAUGGACGAAAGUCUGAGCGAGCAACGCCGCGUGAGUGAAGAAGGUUUUCGGAUCGUAAAACUCUGUUGGUAGAGAAGAACGUUGGUGAGAGUGGAAAGCUCAGCAAGUGACGGUAACUACCCAGAAAGGGACGGCUAACUACGUG
RNAcentral lists this ribosomal RNA (497 nucleotides) under uncultured bacterium. RNAcentral describes it as "partial 16S ribosomal RNA". It matches the Rfam family "Bacterial small subunit ribosomal RNA", at positions 28 to 507 of the family's 1533-position model. The record is from RNAcentral.